GGGGGAUCCAUAGGGGAUCCACACUUGAUCUAUGGGGAGCCUAUAGGGGAUCUAUAAGAGAUGCACUGGGGCUCUAUAGGGGAUCCAUGGGGAUCCAUAGGGGAUCCAUAGGGUGUCCAUAGGCGCCGCCCAGGCCCCGCCGGGGGGCGCUGUCCCGUGCGCUGCCCCGGGGGGCCGAGGCCAGAGCAAGGCCGGGCCCAACCUACGGCCGGGGCCGUAUGGAUCCUAUAGGGGAACCCCUCUGUGGGGCUGCCCCGGGGUCCGGCACGGCCCCGGCACACGCCGGCCCCUACACGCCAUCCUAUAGAUCCUAUAGAUCCUAUAGGGGAUCCUAUAGAUCCUAUAGGGGAUCCGGCACACGCCGGCCCCUACACGCCAUCCUAUAGAUCCUAUAGAUCCUAUAGGGGAUCCUAUAGAUCCUAUAGGGGAUCUGGCACACGCCGGCCCUUACACGCCAUCCUAUAGAUCCUAUAGAUCCUAUAGGGGAUCCGGCACACGCCGGCCCCUACACGCCAUCCUAUGGGGGAUCCUAUAGAUCCUAUAGGGGAUCCUGUAAGGGAUCCCAAAUCCCCUAUGGAAAAUCCCGAAUCCCCCAUGGAAAAUCCCGAACCCCCUAUGGAAAUGCCCUAUGGAGGAAUCGGGUCCCUCGGGACGGAGCCGCGGAGCAGAGCUCAGGUCACGGCCACCGAGAGACAAAAUCCGGAGCAAAAAUAGAAUUUUGGGGCUUUUUUGGGUUUUUUUGGGGAAUUUUUGAGCCUUUUUUGGGGAAUA
Non-coding RNA from Taeniopygia guttata (zebra finch), 771 nucleotides. The record is from RefSeq and is a predicted model, not a curated record. Lineage: Eukaryota; Metazoa; Chordata; Aves; Passeriformes; Estrildidae.